GGCCAGACUCCUACGGGAGGCAGCAGUGGGGGAUAUUGCACAAUGGGGGAAACCCUGAUGCAGCGACGCCGCGUGAGUGAAGAAGUAUUUCGGUAUGUAAAGCUCUAUCAGCAGGGACGAAAAUGACGGUACCUGAGUAAGAAGCCCCGGCUAACUACGUGCCAGCAGCCGCGGUAAUACGUAGGGGGCAAGCGUUAUCCGGAUUUACUGGGUGUAAAGGGAGCGUAGACGGUUAUGCAAGUCUGGAGUGAAAGGCGAGGGCUCAACCCCCGGACUGCUCUGGAAACUGUAGAACUAGAGUGCAGGAGGGGUAAGUGGAAUUCCUAGUGUAGCGGUGAAAUGCGUAGAUAUUAGGAGGAACACCAGUGGCGAAGGCGGCUUACUGGACUGUAACUGACGUUGAGGCUCGAAAGCGUGGGGAGCAAACAGGAUUAGAUACCCGAGUAA
Molecule: ribosomal RNA, 447 nt
Filed under: uncultured bacterium
Lineage: Bacteria
Description: bacterial SSU rRNA
Rfam family: Bacterial small subunit ribosomal RNA
Source: RNAcentral